This is a small RNA of 132 nucleotides. It matches the Rfam family "Streptomyces RNA 6925". Rfam says of the family: Identified by deep sequencing of transcriptome at the end of exponential growth phase. Sequencing size consistent with northern blot size. Streptomyces specific. The record is from Rfam.
GCGAAACCCGCGCCGGUGUGCCUCGUAGGAAAGGACCGGUGCGGUGAAGGUGGGUAAAUCUCCGCCCUUGCCGGGGCAGGAGUGCCAUUUGGCGUUCGGCGUCCGGGAGUUACCGCUCCAUGGGCGCCGUCG